RNAcentral lists this ribosomal RNA (404 nucleotides) under uncultured bacterium. RNAcentral's name for it is "bacterial SSU rRNA". It matches the Rfam family "Bacterial small subunit ribosomal RNA", at positions 355 to 775 of the family's 1533-position model. The record is from RNAcentral.
UGGGGAAUAUUGGACAAUGGGCGAAAGCCUGAAGCAGCAACGCCGCGUGUGUGAAGAAGGCCUUCGGGUUGUAAAACACUUUUUGAGGGGAUGAGGAAGGACAGUACCCUCAGAAUAAGCCUCGGCUAACUACGUGCCAGCAGCCGCGGUAAAACGUAGGAGGCGAGCGUUAUCCGGAUUUACUGGGCGUAAAGCGCGUGCAGGCGGCACGGCAAGUUGGAUGUGAAAGCUCCCGGCUUAACUGGGAGAGGUCGUUCAAAACUGCCGAGCUAGAGUGCGGGAGAGGGAGGUGGAAUUCCGGGUGUAGUGGUGAAAUGCGUAGAUAUCCGGAGAAACACCAGUGGCGAAAGCGGCCUCCUGGUCCGCAACUGACGCUCAGACGCGAAAGCUAGGGUAGCAAACGG